AGCAGCGGCGGUAAUUCCAGCUCCAAUAGCGUAUAUUUAAGUUGUUGCAGUUAAAAAGCUCGUAGUUGGACCUUGGGUUGGGUCGACCGGUCCGCCCUUCGGGUGAGUACUGUCUGUGGUCGGGUCCUACCUUCUGGCGAAGCGUCAUGGCCUUAACCGGCCGUGGCGGGGAACCAGGACUUUUACUGUGAAAAAAUUAGAGUGUUCAAAGCAGGCAAUCGCUUGGAUACAUUAGCAUGGAAUAAUGGAAUAGGACAAUGGUUCUAUUUGUUGGUUUCUAGGACCGUUGUAAUGAUUAAUAGGGAUAGUUGGGGGCAUUAGUAUUCAAUUGUCAGAGGUGAAAUUCUUGGAUUUAUUGAAGACUAACUACUGCGAAAGCAUUUGCCAAGGAUGUUUUCAUUAAUCAAGAACGAAAGUUAGGGGAUCGAAGACGAUCAGAUACCGUCGUAGUCUUAACCAUAAACUAUGCCGACUAGGAAUCGGGCGAUGUUGACAAAAUGACGC
RNAcentral lists this ribosomal RNA (504 nucleotides) under uncultured Glomeromycotina. RNAcentral's name for it is "SSU rRNA". It matches the Rfam family "Eukaryotic small subunit ribosomal RNA", at positions 569 to 1077 of the family's 1831-position model. Lineage: Eukaryota; Fungi; Glomeromycota. The record is from RNAcentral.